RNAcentral lists this ribosomal RNA (508 nucleotides) under uncultured bacterium. RNAcentral's name for it is "partial 16S ribosomal RNA". It matches the Rfam family "Bacterial small subunit ribosomal RNA", at positions 29 to 523 of the family's 1533-position model. The record is from RNAcentral.
AUUGAACGCUGGCGGCAGGCCUAACACAUGCAAGUCGAGCGGCAGCGGGAAAGUAGCUUGCUACUUUUGCCGGCGAGCGGCGGACGGGUGAGUAAUGCCUGGGGAUCUGCCCAGUCGAGGGGGAUAACUACUGGAAACGGUAGCUAAUACCGCAUACGCCCUACGGGGGAAAGCAGGGGACCUUCGGGCCUUGCGCGAUUGGAUGAACCCAGGUGGGAUUAGCUAGUUGGUGAGGUAAUGGCUCACCAAGGCGACGAUCCCUAGCUGGUCUGAGAGGAUGAGCAGCCACACGGGAACUGAACCACGGUCCAGACUCCUACGGGAGGCAGCAGUGGGGAAUAUUGCACAAUGGGGGAACCCCUGAUGCAGCCAUGCCGCGUGUGUGAAGAAGGCCUUCGGGUUGUAAAGCACUUUCAGCGAGGAGGAAAGGUUGGUAGCUAAUAACUGCCAGCUGGGACGUUACUCGCAGAAGAAGCACCGGCUAACUCCGUGCCAGCCGCCGCCGUAA